Molecule: transfer RNA, 67 nt
Filed under: Schistosoma mansoni
Lineage: Eukaryota; Metazoa; Platyhelminthes; Trematoda; Strigeidida; Schistosomatidae
Source: RNAcentral
UCAGUGGCCGAGUGGAUAACGCGAUGGCGUUUGAAGCGAAAGGUACUGGGUUCGAGUCCCGGAAUGA